CGGGGGGCAGCAGUAAGGAAUAUUGGUCAAUGGACGCAAGUCUGAACCAGCUAUGCCGCGUGAAGGAUUAAGGUCCUCUGGAUUGUAAACUUCUUUUAUCUGGGACGAAAAAAGGUCUUUCUAGAUCACUUGACGGUACCAGAUGAAUAAGCACCGGCUAACUCCGUGCCAGCAGCCGCGGUAAUACGGAGGGUGCAAGCGUUAUCCGGAUUCACUGGGUUUAAAGGGUGCGUAGGCGGGCAGGUAAGUCAGUGGUGAAAUCCUGGAGCUCAACUCCAGAACUGCCAUUGAUACUAUCUGUCUUGAAUAUUGUGGAGGUAAGCGGAAUAUGUCAUGUAGCGGUGAAAUGCUUAGAUAUGACAUAGAACACCCAUUGCGAAGGCAGCUUACUACGCAUAUAUUGACGCUGAGGCACGAAAGCGUGGGGAUCAAACAGGAUUAGAUACCCGAGU
RNAcentral lists this ribosomal RNA (452 nucleotides) under uncultured Sediminibacterium sp. RNAcentral describes it as "bacterial SSU rRNA". It matches the Rfam family "Bacterial small subunit ribosomal RNA", at positions 342 to 791 of the family's 1533-position model. The record is from RNAcentral. Lineage: Bacteria; Pseudomonadati; Bacteroidota; Chitinophagia; Chitinophagales; Chitinophagaceae.